CCUACGGAGGGCAGCAGUGGGGAAUAUUGGACAAUGGGGGGAACCCUGAUCCAGCCAUGCCGCGUGUGUGAAGAAGGCCCUCGGGUUGUAAAGCACUUUCAGUGAGGAAGAACGCCUGGUGGUUAAUACCCAUCAGGAAAGACAUCACUCACAGAAGAAGCACCGGCUAACUCCGUGCCAGCAGCCGCGGUAAUACGGAGGGUGCGAGCGUUAAUCGGAAUUACUGGGCGUAAAGCGCGCGUAGGUGGCUUGAUAAGCCGGUUGUGAAAGCCCCGGGCUCAACCUGGGAACGGCAUCCGGAACUGUCAAGCUAGAGUGCAGGAGAGGAAGGUAGAAUUCCCGGUGUAGCGGUGAAAUGCGUAGAGAUCGGGAGGAAUACCAGUGGCGAAGGCGGCCUUCUGGACUGACACUGACACUGAGGUGCGAAAGCGUGGGUAGCAAACAGGAUUAGAUACCCUGGUAGUC
This 465-nucleotide ribosomal RNA is filed under the name Vreelandella stevensii. RNAcentral describes it as "partial 16S ribosomal RNA". It matches the Rfam family "Bacterial small subunit ribosomal RNA", at positions 338 to 795 of the family's 1533-position model. Lineage: Bacteria; Pseudomonadati; Pseudomonadota; Gammaproteobacteria; Oceanospirillales; Halomonadaceae. The record is from RNAcentral.